GAUGAAGAACGUAGCGAAAUGCGAUAAGUAAUGUGAAUUGCAGAAUUCAGUGAAUCAUCGAAUCUUUGAACGCACAUUGCGCCCGCCAGUAUUCUGGCGGGCAUGCCUGUUCGAGCGUCAUUUCAACCCUCAAGCCCAGCUUGGUGUUGGGGAUCGGCACAGGCGCCCUCGGGCGCCCGCCGUCCCCUAAAUCUAGUGGCGGUCCCGCUGCAGCCUCCUCUGCGUAGUAGUUUUCUCCUCGCAAGGGCAGCUCGGUGCCGACCUCGCCGUAAAACCCCCAACUUCUGAAAGGUUGACCUCGAAUCAGGUAGGAAUACCCGCUGAACUUAAGCAUAUCAAUAAGCGGAGGA
This 350-nucleotide unclassified non-coding RNA is filed under the name soil metagenome. Its description in RNAcentral is "partial contains 5.8S ribosomal RNA, internal transcribed spacer 2, and large subunit ribosomal RNA". The stretch from base 1 to 120 matches the Rfam family "5.8S ribosomal RNA", at positions 35 to 154 of the family's 154-position model. The record is from RNAcentral.